ACACAAAUGUUGUCGGCCAAUAUAUGAUUAAUACUAAACCCGGUAAAAAAAUAACAUAAGGUUCCUAGUAUUAAUCGCAAAUAACACAAUCAAACACAUUCCAGAAUCUAGCAUAAAGACUAAUUCCAGAAUACCUAACUAUCCACAACUUAGCGAUAUCAUCUAAGCAUUCAGCAUUUGCUAACUAACCAAUCAACCUAACCAUUACCAUGCUACUAUGGUUCUCAAGCAAUAACUAAGCAUGCUAUCAACUCAAUCAACCAAACCUCAACUAUUAACUAAUCAAACAGUACUCAGUUAGACCCGGCCUCCUUCCAUGAUCCAACUUCUAAGUAACGGGAACCUGAAUAAAAACAACUAAGCAAUCAAUCGAUUAUAACUCACUGUUCUUUGGCUGAACGUGGCCUUGACCCCAAACCCGACUUCUGCGAUCUGACUUGUCCGACCUUCACAAGUAGACCCACGUCUGGACUGAUCUCUACUUGAAAUGAUCCUUCUCCAGGUGC
RNAcentral lists this long non-coding RNA (506 nucleotides) under Brassica napus (rape). RNAcentral describes it as "long non-coding RNA (BNAP_LNC001582)". Lineage: Eukaryota; Viridiplantae; Streptophyta; Magnoliopsida; Brassicales; Brassicaceae. The record is from RNAcentral.